Molecule: unclassified non-coding RNA, 273 nt
Filed under: Hevea brasiliensis (rubber tree)
Lineage: Eukaryota; Viridiplantae; Streptophyta; Magnoliopsida; Malpighiales; Euphorbiaceae
Source: RNAcentral
GAGGAUGGUUGUUUAGUCAGUUUGAACUGGACUAGGAAUGGCAAACAGGCAAGGUGAUGGGUAUAGAUGUGACUUAACCUAUUGCAGAACUUCAUUGCUACAACCUGUCCUGUAAAAUGCCUUCAUCACGUAUCACUUGAAUUUGUCAUCUAUUGAUUAGGCCCUAGCCCUAUAACUUAGGUGAAGUGAAAUGUAAGUUUAUGGCUGUUGAGAAUGGAAUAUUACAAUUUGUCAUAUUUAUAUUUACACUAGUGGAGUUGGUUUGUCCAUCUC